CAGAUCGGCUCUGAGUUUCAUUAAGCAGACUUAGUGUAGCGACAAUUUCAUCAGUAUAAAUAGCUUUGUUGAAUUAAAUACUACUAUGUCAGACAAAAUAAUAAAAUAACAAAGAUAUUUAAAAGAUGUCAGGUGUAUGUACAAAGGCAUGAUACAAAGAUUUCUUUAUUGCAAAUUUCUUAAUCGUUCAUUAAAUGAAGAUCUUAAGUAGCAAUGUAAAAAAUUUAUGCAUGUACCUAAAAAAUGCUUGCAAUAAAAAUGAUCUUAGUCCUAUCAUAUUGUAAAUA
Long non-coding RNA from Rhagoletis pomonella (apple maggot), 287 nucleotides. RefSeq lists it as uncharacterized. Lineage: Eukaryota; Metazoa; Arthropoda; Insecta; Diptera; Tephritidae. The record is from RefSeq and is a predicted model, not a curated record. The transcript is spliced from 2 exons.